GUAGGUGGCAAGCGUUGUCCGGAAUUACUGGGCGUAAAGCGCGCGCAGGCGGUUCUUUAAGUCUGAUGUGAAAGCCCACGGCUCAACCGUGGAGGGUCAUUGGAAACUGGAGAACUUGAGUACAGAAGAGGAAAGCGGAAUUCCACGUGUAGCGGUGAAAUGCGUAGAGAUGUGGAGGAACACCAGUGGCGAAGGCGGCUUUCUGGUCUGUAACUGACGCUGAGGCGCGAAAGCGUGGGGAGCAAACAGGAUUAGAUACCCUGGUAGUCCACGCCGUAAACGAUGAGUGCUAAGUGUUAGGGGGUUUCCGCCCCCCUUAGUGCUGCAGCUAACGCAUUAAGCACUCCGCCUGGGAGUACGGCCGCAAGGCUG
This 372-nucleotide ribosomal RNA is filed under the name uncultured organism. RNAcentral describes it as "partial 16S ribosomal RNA". It matches the Rfam family "Bacterial small subunit ribosomal RNA", at positions 527 to 896 of the family's 1533-position model. The record is from RNAcentral.